GGGAUUGUGGCUCAGUGGUAGAGCACUUGUUUAUCAUGUAUGAGCACUGGGUUCGAUUCUCAGCACCA
This 68-nucleotide transfer RNA is filed under the name Urocitellus parryii (Arctic ground squirrel). RNAcentral describes it as "Spermophilus parryii (Arctic ground squirrel) tRNA". It matches the Rfam family "tRNA". From Rfam's summary of the family: Transfer RNA (tRNA) molecules are approximately 80 nucleotides in length. Their secondary structure includes four short double-helical elements and three loops (D, anti-codon, and T loops). Further hydrogen bonds mediate the characteristic L-shaped molecular structure. tRNAs have two regions of fundamental functional importance: the anti-codon, which is responsible for specific mRNA codon recognition, and the 3' end, to which the tRNAs corresponding amino acid is attached (by aminoacyl-tRNA synthetases). tRNAs cope with the degeneracy of the genetic code in two manners: having more than one tRNA (with a specific anti-codon) for a particular amino acid; and 'wobble' base-pairing, i.e. permitting non-standard base-pairing at the 3rd anti-codon position. The record is from Rfam by way of RNAcentral. Lineage: Eukaryota; Metazoa; Chordata; Mammalia; Rodentia; Sciuridae. RNAcentral also lists the same sequence under 1 other name.